AACGCUGGCGGCAGGCUUAACACAUGCAAGUCGAGCGCCUCGCAAGAGGAGCGGCAGACGGGUGAGUAACGCGUGGGAAUCUACCGUACCCUACGGAAUAGCUCUGGGAAACUGGAGGUAAUACCGUAUACGCCCUUCGGGGGAAAGAUUUAUCGGGGUAUGAUGAGCCCGCGUUGGAUUAGCUAGUUGGUGGGGUAAAGGCCUACCAAGGCGACGAUCCAUAGCUGGUCUGAGAGGAUGAUCAGCCACAUUGGGACUGAGACACGGCCCAAACUCC
Molecule: ribosomal RNA, 277 nt
Filed under: uncultured Rhizobium sp.
Lineage: Bacteria; Pseudomonadati; Pseudomonadota; Alphaproteobacteria; Hyphomicrobiales; Rhizobiaceae
Description: partial 16S ribosomal RNA
Rfam family: Bacterial small subunit ribosomal RNA
Source: RNAcentral